This 253-nucleotide ribosomal RNA is filed under the name uncultured bacterium. Its description in RNAcentral is "partial 16S ribosomal RNA". It matches the Rfam family "Bacterial small subunit ribosomal RNA", at positions 524 to 776 of the family's 1533-position model. The record is from RNAcentral.
UACGUAGGGUGCGAGCGUUAAUCGGAAUUACUGGGCGUAAAGCGUGCGCAGGCGGUUUGCUAAGACAGGUGUGAAAUCCCCGGGCUUAACCUGGGAACUGCGCUUGUUACUGGCAGGCUUGAGUGUGGCAGAGGGGGGUGGAAUUCCACGUGUAGCAGUGAAAUGCGUAGAGAUGUGGAGGAACACCGAUGGCGAAGGCAGCCCCCUGGGCUAACACUGACGCUCAUGCACGAAAGCGUGGGGAGCAAACAGG